AGGAGGAACAACCCCAGUGGCGGCAGCCAGCUCUGGAGUCCUGGAUUCAGCUCCAGCAGUAACUACAGAGCUCUCAGCCUGCAGGGCCUGGAUGCUCUGGGGGCGG
This is a non-coding RNA of Canis lupus familiaris (dog), 106 nucleotides long. NCBI's taxonomy places the organism in Eukaryota, Metazoa, Chordata, Mammalia, Carnivora, Canidae. The record is from Rfam.